Molecule: small RNA, 1438 nt
Filed under: Nicotiana attenuata
Lineage: Eukaryota; Viridiplantae; Streptophyta; Magnoliopsida; Solanales; Solanaceae
Description: JAL3
Source: RNAcentral
AAAGCAAACCCAAGCCAUUAAGUAACACCCGGCAACUCAGUCCCUCCGCCGGCAACACUACCUGAAAAAACAGCCGGCCACCCAGUAGUCAGUACAUCACUACCAGUAAAAACACAUCGGAGAAUUUGAAUAAUGGCCGGAGCAAAAAAAGAGAUAACGAUCAACGGAGGAAACAUGAUGUCAAGAAGAGUAGAAUAUGGGAGACCAAUUCCAAAGAGAGGGCAAGUGAAGGUGACCAUAGUGUUGGGAUUAGCUCACUCUUUGUCUUCUAUGUUCUCCGUCGGUGGCCGUUCUCAAUCUUGCCGGAGAACUACCCAUCUCUCCUGAGCGAGUGAAGAGAAAGUACCCAGUUUUGGUAAAUUUAGAUAGUGUUGGAGGGUAUAGUUGUCCUUCUAGAGAAUCCUGAGCUUAAUCUUUAGUUUGUUCUGUACAUAUGUUUCUGAUUUUUCCUAGUUCUGUCUUGUAUAAUUUUGGAAGUUAAAUUUUCAAUCAUCUUCCAGAGUGCUGCAGCUUCCUUUUGUUUUAAAAUCCAUUCUCCAUUGAUUUGAUGAUUCAUUAUUCCAUCAACUUUGCAUACUCUUCUGCAACUAAUUCUGUACAUAAGAGUGACCACAAAGGAAUUAUGAUGCUAUAUGAAUAACAACUGUUAGGAAGCUUGGAGAAGAAAGUUUUGGAAUUGAAGAAUAGCUAAAUGAGCUGAUGAAGAACAAUACAACCGACUAUAUACAUCUCUUAACUAACAAUUAGUUACUAACUAACUAAAAUAACUCUAGCACCCCUAACUUCUACGAUGUACAUUUAGGUCUCCAAAUCUUAUACAUUUAACUAUAUAUUCCAAUACUUCCCCUCAAGCUGAAGGGCGUAGAAUGUUUAACACACCAAGCUAGCUAAGUAGAAACUGAUGCUGAGGUGAUGCCAAUCCUUUAGUGAGAAUGUCUGCUUGUUGAUGUUGUGUAGAUACGUAUUGUGUUGGCAGUAUCCCUUGCUUGAGCUUUUCCCUGAUGAAAUGACAAUCUAAUUCAAUAUGCUUUGUUCGUUCAUGAAAUAUGGUAUUAGCAACUAUUUGAAUUGCUGCCUUACUAUUUGAGAAUAAGAGAACUGGUUGGUGAAUUGGUGUCCCUAGUUCUGCAAACAGUCCCCUCAACCACACAAUCUUAGCUGUGCAGAUGCCAUACUCCUGUAUUCAGCUUCAGCACUACUGCGAGAGACUGUGUGUUGCUUCUUUGACCUCCAAGAGAUUAAGGAAUCCCCAAACUUAACAAGGUAACCACUGACCUGGCUCCCGUUUGAGGUACCUCAUCACACGAGUAGCAACAUCCAUGUGAGAUCUUUUUGGAGCUUGCAUGAACUGACUUAAGACUUGUACUGCAUAGCUAAUGUCUGGUCUAGUGACUGUGAGAUAUAAGAGUUUUCCAAUCAAUUUCUGGUAACUUGUGGC